Long non-coding RNA from Capsicum annuum, 262 nucleotides. RefSeq lists it as uncharacterized. The transcript has 2 exons. The record is from RefSeq and is a predicted model, not a curated record. NCBI's taxonomy places the organism in Eukaryota, Viridiplantae, Streptophyta, Magnoliopsida, Solanales, Solanaceae.
GGCUGGGCUCGAUGCUGCUACAAUAAUUUACUGAAUUUUUAGGUUUGAUGAUGAAGGAUUUGGAGCUGCGGAAGAUAUAUUCUUGUCUAUUUCUGGUUGAUUGGGUUGACCAUCCUUUGUGGGUAUAACAGAAGGUUCUCCCAGCUUAUAGCUCGCAGGUUGAACUGGUCCUUUGUAAUGCCAUUGACGGACAGUCUGCUGCAUUUUCCUUUUCCUCUUAGGAGGCAUCACUUCUUUCACUUGAUCAGCAAAGUCUUUCAAA